CCUACGGGUAGCAGCAGUGAGGAAUAUUGGGCAAUUGCCGUAAGGCUGAACCAGCCAAGUCGCGUGAAGGACGAAGGAUCUAUGGUUUGUAAACUUCUUUUAUAGGGGAAUAGAGGUAGCCACGUGAGGAUAUUUGCAUGUACCCGAUGAAUAAGCAUCGGCUAACUCCGUGCCAGGAGGCGCGGGAAUAAGGAGGAUGCGAGCGGUAUACGGCGUUAGUGGGUUGAAAGGGUGCGUAGGUAGUUUGUAAAUUCGGCGGUGAAAGUGUGUGGCUCAACCAUAGAGUUGCUGUUGAAACUGGAAGAGUUGAGUGUGUUAUGGGUAGGCGGAAUGCGUGGUGUGGCGGUGAAAGGCAUAGAUAUCACGCAGAACUCCGAGUGCGAAGGCAGCUUACUAGGCCAUAACUGACACUGAAGCACGAAAGCGUGGGGAUCAAACAGGAUUAGAUACCCCUGUAGUC
This 460-nucleotide ribosomal RNA is filed under the name uncultured bacterium. RNAcentral's name for it is "partial 16S ribosomal RNA". It matches the Rfam family "Bacterial small subunit ribosomal RNA", at positions 338 to 795 of the family's 1533-position model. The record is from RNAcentral.